CGCCUGGGGAGUACGGCCGCAAGGCUAAAACUCAAAGGAAUUGACGGGGCCCCGCACAAGCGGCGGAGCAUGCGGAUUAAUUCGAUGCAACGCGUAGAACCUUACCUGGGUUUGACAUGGAUCGGGAGUGCUCAGAGAUGGGUGUGCCUCUUUUGGGGUCGGUUCACAGGUGGUGCAUGGCUGUCGUCAGCUCGUGUUGUGAGAUGUUGGGUUAAGUCCCGCAACGAGCGCAACCCUUGUUCACUGUUGCCAGCACGUUAUGGUGGGGACUCAGUGGAGACCGCCGGGGUCAACUCGGAGGAAGGUGGGGAUGACGUCAAGUCAUCAUGCCCCUUAUGUCCAGGGCUUCACGCAUGCUGCAAUGGCUGGUACAGAGAGUGGCGAGCCUGUGAGGGUGAGCGAAUCUCGGAAAGCCGGUCUCAGUUCGGAUUGGGGUCUGCAACUCGACCUCAUGAAGUCGGAGUCGCUAGUAAUCGCAGAUCAGCAACGCUGCGGUGAAUACGUUCCCGGGGCUUGUACACACCGCCCGUCAAGUCAUGAAAGUUGGUAACACCCGAAGCCGGUGGCCUAACCGUUGUGGGGGAGCCGUCGAAGGUGGGACUGGUGAUUAGGACUAAGUCGUAACAAGGUAACCGUA
RNAcentral lists this ribosomal RNA (637 nucleotides) under uncultured Propionibacterium sp. Its description in RNAcentral is "bacterial SSU rRNA". It matches the Rfam family "Bacterial small subunit ribosomal RNA", at positions 870 to 1504 of the family's 1533-position model. The record is from RNAcentral. Lineage: Bacteria; Bacillati; Actinomycetota; Actinomycetes; Propionibacteriales; Propionibacteriaceae.